This 84-nucleotide transfer RNA is filed under the name Candidatus Velamenicoccus archaeovorus. RNAcentral describes it as "tRNA-Leu". It matches the Rfam family "tRNA". From Rfam's summary of the family: Transfer RNA (tRNA) molecules are approximately 80 nucleotides in length. Their secondary structure includes four short double-helical elements and three loops (D, anti-codon, and T loops). RNAcentral also lists the same sequence under 1 other name. Lineage: Bacteria; Pseudomonadati; Candidatus Omnitrophota. The record is from RNAcentral.
GCCGGGAUGGUGAAAUUGGCAAACACAUAGCGUUCAGGGCGCUACGCUCGUAAGGGCUUGAGGGUUCAACUCCCUCUCCCGGCA